GACAGAGGUGCCGAGCGUUAGGCGGAAUCACUGGGCUUAAAGCGUGUGUAGGCGGGCCGUUAAGUGUCUUGUGGAAUCCCCCGGCUCAACCGGGGAAUUGCUGGGCAUACUGGCGGUCUUGAGCAGUUCAGGGGCAGAUGGAACAAGUGGUGGAGCGGUGAAAUGCGUAGAUAUCACUUGGAACGCCAACGGUGAAAACAGUCUGCUGGGAACUUGCUGACGCUGAGACACGAAAGCCAGGGGAGCGAACGGG
This 253-nucleotide ribosomal RNA is filed under the name uncultured bacterium. Its description in RNAcentral is "partial 16S ribosomal RNA". It matches the Rfam family "Bacterial small subunit ribosomal RNA", at positions 524 to 776 of the family's 1533-position model. The record is from RNAcentral.